Molecule: ribosomal RNA, 205 nt
Filed under: Didymella cucurbitacearum
Lineage: Eukaryota; Fungi; Ascomycota; Dothideomycetes; Pleosporales; Didymellaceae
Description: partial 26S ribosomal RNA
Rfam family: Eukaryotic large subunit ribosomal RNA
Source: RNAcentral
CUUGACCUCGGAUCAGGUAGGGAUACCCGCUGAACUUAAGCAUAUCAAUAAGCGGAGGAAAAGAAACCAACAGGGAUUGCCCUAGUAACGGCGAGUGAAGCGGCAACAGCUCAAAUUUGAAAUCUGGCGUCUUCGGCGUCCGAGUUGUAAUUUGCAGAGGGCGCUUUGGCAUUGGCAGCGGUCCAAGUUCCUUGGAACAGGACGU